Molecule: ribosomal RNA, 468 nt
Filed under: uncultured bacterium
Lineage: Bacteria
Description: partial 16S ribosomal RNA
Rfam family: Bacterial small subunit ribosomal RNA
Source: RNAcentral
GACGAACGCUGGCGGCGUGCUUAACACAUGCAAGUCGAACGGAAAGGCCCUGCUUUUGUGGGGUGCUCGAGUGGCGAACGGGUGAGUAACACGUGAGUAACCUGCCCUUUACUUUGUGAUAACUUCAGGAAACUGGGGCUAAUACCGGAUAGGAGCUCCUGCUGCAUGGUGGGGGUUGGAAAGUUUCGGCGGUUGGGGAUGGACUCGCGGCUUAUCAGCUUGUUGGUGGGGUAGUGGCUUACCAAGGCUUUGACGGGUAGCCGGCCUGAGAGGGUGACCGGCCACAUUGGGACUGAGAUACGGCCCAGACUCCUACGGGAGGCAGCAGUGGGGAAUAUUGCACAAUGGGCGGAAGCCUGAUGCAGCAACGCCGCGUGCGGGAUGACGGCCUUCGGGUUGUAAACCGCUUUCGCCUGUGACGAAGCGUGAGUGACGGUAAUGGGUAAAGAAGCACCGGCUAACUACGUG